RNAcentral lists this ribosomal RNA (547 nucleotides) under uncultured Glomeromycotina. RNAcentral describes it as "SSU rRNA". It matches the Rfam family "Eukaryotic small subunit ribosomal RNA", at positions 548 to 1098 of the family's 1831-position model. Lineage: Eukaryota; Fungi; Glomeromycota. The record is from RNAcentral.
UUGGAGGGCAAGUCUGGUGCCAGCAGCCGCGGUAAUUCCAGCUCCAAUAGCGUAUAUUAAAGUUGUUGCAGUUAAAAAGCUCGUAGUUGAAUUUCGGGGUUCUUCCGUUGGUCAGGCUAACCAGUCUGUACUAGCGUGUAGAAUCUCUACCUUCUGGGGAACCAUCAUGUUAUUAAUUUAGCGUGGUGGGAAACCAGGACCUUUACCUUGAAAAAAUUAGAGUGUUCAAAGCAGGCUUACGUCUGAAUACAUUAGCAUGGAAUAAUAAAAUAGGACGGUGGUCCUGUUUUGUUGGCUUCUGAAUCACCGUAAUGAUUAAUAGGGAUAGUUGGGGGCAUUAGUAUUCAAUUGUCAGAGGUGAAAUUCUUGGAUUUAUUGAAGACUAACUUCUGCGAAAGCAUUUGCCAAGGAUGUUUUCAUUAAUCAAGAACGAAAGUUAGGGGAUCGAAGACGAUCAGAUACCGUCGUAGUCUUAACCAUAAACUAUGCCGACUAGGGAUCGGACGAUGUUAAAUUUUAUUGACUCGUUCGGCGCCUUACGGGAAAC